AACGAACGCUGGCGGCAUGCCUAACACAUGCAAGUCGAACGAGACCUUCGGGUCUAGUGGCGCACGGGUGCGUAACGCGUGGGAACCUGCGCUGAGGAUCGGAAUCACUCUUCGAAAGGGGUGCUAGUAACUGAGAAUGAUACUGGACCAAGGUAUUAUCGCCGUUGGAUGGGCCCCCGUUGGAUUAGGUAGUUGGUAGGGUAAAAGCCUUCUAAGGUGAUGAGUCAUAGCUGGUCUGAGAGGAUGAUCAGCCACGCUGGGACCGAGACACGGCCCAGACUCCUACGAGAGGCAGCAGUGGGGCAUUUUGGGCAAGGGGCGUACGCCUGAUCCGGCAAUGCCGCGUGGGUGAUGAAGGCCUUAGGGUUGUUAAGCUCUUUUACACGGCAUGAUAAGAACAGUGCCGGAGGAGUAAGCCCCGCCAACCUCCUU
This 432-nucleotide ribosomal RNA is filed under the name uncultured bacterium. RNAcentral's name for it is "partial 16S ribosomal RNA". It matches the Rfam family "Bacterial small subunit ribosomal RNA", at positions 29 to 506 of the family's 1533-position model. The record is from RNAcentral.